GUGGGGGAUAUUGGACAAUGGGGGAAACCCUGAUCCAGCGACGCCGCGUGAGUGAAGAAGUAUUUCGGUAUGUAAAGCUCUAUCAGCAGGGAAGAAAGAAAUGACGGUACCUGAGUAAGAAGCCCCGGCUAACUACGUGCCAGCAGCCGCGGUAAUACGUAGGGGGCAAGCGUUAUCCGGAAUUACUGGGUGUAAAGGGAGCGUAGACGGUAAUGCAAGUCUGGAGUGAAAGGCGGGGGCCCAACCCCCGGACUGCUCUGGAAACUGUGUAACUGGAGUGCAGGAGAGGCAGGCGGAAUUCCUAGUGUAGCGGUGAAAUGCGUAGAUAUUAGGAGGAACACCAGUGGCGAAGGCGGCCUGCUGGACUGUAACUGACGUUGAGGCUCGAAAGCGUGGGGAGCAAACAGGAUUAGAAACCCUAGUAGUCC
This 428-nucleotide ribosomal RNA is filed under the name uncultured bacterium. RNAcentral describes it as "bacterial SSU rRNA". It matches the Rfam family "Bacterial small subunit ribosomal RNA", at positions 354 to 796 of the family's 1533-position model. The record is from RNAcentral.